This 468-nucleotide ribosomal RNA is filed under the name uncultured bacterium. RNAcentral describes it as "partial 16S ribosomal RNA". It matches the Rfam family "Bacterial small subunit ribosomal RNA", at positions 28 to 507 of the family's 1533-position model. The record is from RNAcentral.
GACGAACGCUGGCGGCGUGCUUAACACAUGCAAGUCGAACGGAAAGGCCCUGCUUUUGUCGGGUGCUCGAGUGGCGAACGGGUGAGUAACACGUGAGUAACCUGCCCUUGACUUUGGGAUAACUUCAGGAAACUGGGGCUAAUACCGGAUAGGAGCUCCUGCUGCAUGGUGGGGGUUGGAAAGUUUCGGCGGUUGGGGAUGGACUCGCGGCUUAUCAGCUUGUUGGUGGGGUAGUGGCUUACGAAGGCUUUGGCGGGUAGCCGGCCUGAGAGGGUGACCGGCCACAUUGGGACUGCGAUACGGCCCAGACUGGUACGGGAGGCAGCAGUGGGGAAUAUUGCACAAUGGGCGGACGCCUGAUGCAGCAGCGCGGCGAGCGGGAUGACGUCCUUCGGGUUGUAAACCGCUUUCGCCUGUGACGAAGCGUUAGUGACGGUAAUGGGUAAAGAAGCACCGGCUAACUACGUG